UGAGGAAUAUUGGUCAAUGGACGAGAGUCUGAACCAGCCAUGCCGCGUGUAGGAAGACUGCCCUAUGGGUUGUAAACUACUUUUAUACAGGAAGAACAUGUUCUACGUGUAGAAUUUUGACGGUACUGUACGAAUAAGCACCGGCUAACUCCGUGCCAGCAGCCGCGGUAAUACGGAGGGUGCAAGCGUUAUCCGGAAUCAUUGGGUUUAAAGGGUUCGUAGGCGGAUUAAUAAGUCAGAGGUGAAAUCCUGCAGCUCAACUGUAGCAUUGCCUUUGAUACUGUUAGUCUUGAGUUAUAUUGAAGUGGAUAGAAUAUGUAGUGUAGCGGUGAAAUGCAUAGAUAUUACAU
Molecule: ribosomal RNA, 350 nt
Filed under: uncultured bacterium
Lineage: Bacteria
Description: bacterial SSU rRNA
Rfam family: Bacterial small subunit ribosomal RNA
Source: RNAcentral